Molecule: ribosomal RNA, 1360 nt
Filed under: metagenome
Description: bacterial LSU rRNA
Rfam family: Bacterial large subunit ribosomal RNA
Source: RNAcentral
AAAAAGUGACGGUCCCGCAAGGGGACGCUGAGGCCUCGGCCAAGGUGGAUUGCUUGACUCCUGUGUCAAGAAAACCAAUUACAUGUUCCCACGGUUGCCCGUACCGUAAACCGACACAGGUGGGUGAGUAGAGUAUACUCAGGCGCGUGAGUGAAACCUCGUUAAGGAACUCGGCAAUCUAGCCCCGUAACUUCGGAAGAAGGGGUGCCACCGCAAGGUGGUCGCAGUGAAAUGGGUCAACCGACUGUUUAACAAAAACACAGCACUCUGCCAAGUCGCAAGACGACGUAUAGGGUGUGACACGUGACCAAUGCGGAAAGAUUACGGCAAGAGGUUAGCCGCAAGGCGAAGCUUUGAACCCAAGUCCCCGUGAAUGUCUGCCGUAACUAUAACGGUCCUAAGGUAGCGAAAUUCCUUGUCGGGUAAGUUCCGACCUGCACGAAUCGUGUAACGAGUUGACCGCUGUCUCAACGAGGAGCUCAGCGAAGUUGUAGUGGCGGUGAAGAUGCCGCCUACCCGCAGUAGGACGGAAAGACCCUAUGCACCUUUACUACACGCUGUUACUGUUGUUUCGAUUUUGAUGCUUAGCGUAAGUGGAAGACUGUGAUUCAGACCUUUCGGGGUUUGAUGAGUCGCCAAUGAAACACCACCCUUCGAAAUUGGAAUAACUAACCUCUCGCCAUGAUCUGGCAGAGGGACACUGGCAGCCGGCUAGUUUUACUGGGGCGGUAUCCUCCCAAAGAGUAACGGAGGAGUACGAAGGUUGGCUCAACCUGGUUGGCAAUCAGGUGACGAGUAUAUGGAUAUAAGCCAGCUUAACUGCGAGACAUACAUGUCGAGCAGGUACGAAAGUAGGUCCAAGUGAUCCGGUGGUUGAAUGUGGAAUUGCCAUCGCUCAACGGACAAAAGGUACGCUAGGGAUAACAGGCUGAUCCUGCCCAAGAGCUCAUAUCGACGGCAGGGUUUGGCACCUCGAUGUCGGCUCAUCACAUCCUGGGGCUGGAGAAGGUCCCAAGGGUCCGGCUGUUCGCCGGUUAAAGUGGUACGCGAGCUGGGUUCAGAACGUCGCGAGACAGUUCGGUCCUUAUCCACUGUGGGCGCAGGAGAAUUGAGGGGUUCAUACCUUAGUACGAGAGGACCGGGUAUGACGAACCGCUGGUGUUCCAGUUGUCGUGUCAACGGCAGUGCUGGGUAGCUAUGUUCGGAAAGGAUAAGCGCUGAAAGCAUCUAAGCGCCAAGCCUAUCCCAAGAUGAGUUCUCCCUGAAGAGUCGUGGUAGACCACCACGUUGAUAGGUCACUGGUGUAAGUGCAGUAAUGUAUUCAGCUAAGUGAUACUAAUAACUCGUUCGGCUUGGUCAU